GUGACCACCACCUCCAAGCACCAAGGCUUUGCAACCCACCCUGUGGUGACACGGAGUGGCAGAGGCAGGGAUGCUUUACCAUGCCCUGGGGAGCAGGCAGUGCUGUGCCAACAGCAAGUGGCCGCUGGAGGUUGAAACCAUGACCAUGGCUGCGUCACAGUCAGCAGUGACGUCCCUUUGCCAGUCACAACAGAGCUGGUUUUAAAAUAACCUUUUUCUUUCCUUUUUUUUUUUUUUCUUUUUUUUUUUCCCUGCCUAAAAAUGACCUAAUUUUCUCAUUUCUGGGAGUAGCUGCUAGGGAGGGGAGCACCCUCCUGCUUCUCAUUUCUUCCUGGAGGAUUUGUCAGAGCUUGAAACAGUCCCACCUACUCCGGCUGCCCUCGAUUUUGGGGUAUUUUCCCCCGGGGCUGGUGUCUAUGGGCAUCCGGGCUGUUCUCCUGAAUCUACCCCCAGCCUUUGGGGCAUGGCGGGGGAUUUUCCCCACAGACAGGGAAGUGGGGGGGUGUUGGGGGAUACCGGUGCCAGAGCUGAGCCCUGAGCUGCUCCUGCUGGCCCCUGUGCCGUCCGUCCUGCGUGUCUGUCGGGGGCGAGGCGGCGCGGGGGCGGCCAGGCAUGCGGGAGCUGCCCCGGCGUGGGGCCAAGGCGGCGGCGGCGGAGCCAGCGUGGGGCCGCGGAUGCCGUUCCUGCUGAGGUCAUGGCCAGAGCAGCCGGCGGCAGGGGGAUGGGGGUGGCAAUCCAUGCCUCCCUGUGACUGCUUCCAUCCCAUAAGUGUCACCCCGGCUUGUCCCGGGACCCCCAAGGUGGCAGCAUGGGGGGGACAAGCUGGUGGCACUCGCUCCAGAGCUUUGUUGCUUCGUUCCUGCCGCGGCUGGUGGUGGUUGGGUCUGGUGAGCCCUUUCUGCUUCCUCCACCCUUGUCCCCGGGGUCCUCGGCCACGCUGGCCACCAGCAAGUGGCACUGUUACCCUGCCGGCCACCCGCCGGGCAUCCCCGGCUGAGCUCGCAAGUUUUGCCUUUUAUCUGACCACACUACUUGGAAAAAGUGGGCGACCUUCUGGGAAGGCAGCCCUUUCCUCAGAUCUGCCCAAACACGGGUAUUAAUAGCUGCUGUUCCCUUGGUUUUUGGUUGUUUUUUUUUCUUUUCCCUUUUAAACACCGUUAAGACUUGAACGCGCUCAGGAUGUGGUGAGAUAAGGGGAGGCACGGGGCAGUUUCAGCUGGAUCUGACACUUUCUCUCUCUCUCUCUCUCUUCCCCGCUCUUUGUUUCUUCCAAAGUCAAGGUCGUUUUUAUUGCUCUUUGCUCCUCAAGAACCAGAAGUCAUAAACCUUGUGCCCGUUUUUAGGCUGGGGUUAGUCAGACUCUCGUUACAUGCUCGGUCGGUUACAGAGCGGUCGGGAAAAGUAUUGUUAAAGCAAAUGCUGCCUGGGGUCAGGGCUUUUUGUUUUGGGUUUGGUUUUUUGUUUGUUUUUUUUUUUUGUUUGAGGUUUGUCUGCAGCAGGGAGAGAGAGUGUUUGGAUUAAUCACUUAACAAAAUCGAAUAAAUAUUUAAUCCCUCUGUGGACACACUUAGUCACUUCCAGCGGGAAUUAAGAUAAAUUCCUCUCCAGCUGUCUGUGUAAGAGCAGACUCACCAGCUCUGGCUUUGAAGUUGGAACCGGUCUGGGUGGCUUGUCCUGUGUGUCCCUGGGGUGUCACCAGUGCCACCCGUGGUCCCUCGGGGGGUCCAGAGCUGUGGCAGGUGGGCAGGAUGGCAGUGCCAGCCUUGUCCUGUCCCACAGCAGUGUUGGGAGCAAGGGAUGGGCCAUUGAAUUAAAACCAGUGAAUAAUGAGGACAUCAUCAGUGUGUACUGCAGGUCCUUGCGUUUGUCCCUCAGGACCUGUUGGAUGGAUUAUUCUUUAUUUUUUUUUGUUUUUACUCUCUUCUUUAAAAAAGCCAACCCUUUUCACUUCACAGUUUUUAAGGUAAACUAUUAUUUUUUUUUAGCUGUUUUUCAGCAAUGUUUUUCAUGAUCAAAACUUAACCUCUGCCUCGUGGCCGAGGAGGUGGCAGGUAGGGUGGGUUUGUGCCAUGCCAUAUGCAACGUGUAGGGUGGGUUUGUGCCAUGCCAUAUACAAUGUGUAGGGUGAGUUGGUGCCAUGCCAUGUGUGUGGUGUGUGUUUGCCAUGCCACAGCUCCUGCCCCGCCGGGGGCUGCCCCCCAAGCCCCAGCCAUGCCACUGGGCACACUGCCUGCAGCACUGGGCGAGCAGGAGCUGGCAGGGGUGGUUUUAGCCACGUUUUAAGUUUUUUUACUCUUUUUUUUUAACUCUUCUCAGUCCCACCCACAGCCUCAUACGUGGCCUCGGUGCGACUCACCACGGUCGGAGGCUUGACCUUGCAGGAUGAGGUUUUUCAGCCAUGGAGAUACCCCCCACCCUCCCCAAAACUCCCACCCAAGGGGUGCUCCCCACUCUCACUGGUGUCCACAGCGGGCACCCUCUUUCCAGCUGUGGUGACAAUGUCAGCUGUGUUUACACGGGCCAAAAUAUCUACGAGUGGCCUUUUAACUCACCCCUGUGGCCAGAUUGCCACGAGCCCGGCUGAAACCCUUGGGAAGACAGGGAACCACAAGAGCCUGAAAAACGGGGCAUAACACUGUGGUUUGGACAUCGGCAAGAACGGCAGUUCCCUGGCCGGUGAAUUCCUUUAGCUGGGAACCAAUGGACUCGAUACUUGACUUUUUGCCUUUUAAUAGUAUUUUCAGCACAAUACAUGGAAUGUAAGGGAAGGAAAUUCCCGUAGCGCUGGAUCUCGUGUCGCAGCGUCAGGAAGCUGAUCGUGCCAAGCUGGCACGGCUCAAAAAACAAAACAAAACAAAAAAAAAGGGUUUGAAAGAAAUCAAAUAAUUCAGCAUCUGUGCAAACUUUAGCUGGGGCUGAACAAUGGAAAUACUCUUGUGCAGUGGGAUUACUUUUUUACAAGCGGUUGUUUUUUGACACCGCUCUUGUCUGGAAGUCUGAUUUGCAGAGGAAUUUGUAUGAUAAGUUUAAGUCCAGCCCUGUUCUGGAAAGCUCUUAAAGCAUAGAUUUAAAAAUAGGCACGUACUUAAGUCCUAUUAAAAUGAACAAUUAGUACAUCCUUGGGUGCUUUUCUUGAACAGGGUGCUUCUAAGAAUUGUACCUUCAAUAUGCUCUUAGAGAAGCAAGCAAUACUGAAGAAGGCUUGGUUUUAAUGAUCUGGGCACAUUUCUCAGAAAAGUCUGCAAGUAUUAGGGGGAAAUUCCCUAUGUGUUUUGGAUUACUUAAUAAUGCAGACUGGUGCUUUUUUUUUUUUUAAAAAAAAGAUACAUUUCUGUAGCCAUGGUUUACCUAGGGGACUACAUGAUAUUUUUUAUGUUGGAUGUUAUUUUUCUUUAAGGUUACGAAUAGGUUAUUUAUAUUUUUGUAAAUUCUGUGUUGUUACCACUGUAAUUCUGAAGUAGAGUUGUUCCUGUUGUUGUUUUUUUGGGGUGAUGUCUGUACUCAAAUAAAGCAGUAGCUGAAGCUCCUGCCUUCUUUGUUAAACAAGGGGUGUGUGUGUGUGCCCCACAUUCCUCCCAGGCCUGGUGCUCUCGAAUGCUGUGUGUUAAAUAAAUUUCGGAGCCAGAG
Long non-coding RNA from Calidris pugnax (ruff), 3627 nucleotides. RefSeq lists it as uncharacterized. NCBI's taxonomy places the organism in Eukaryota, Metazoa, Chordata, Aves, Charadriiformes, Scolopacidae. The record is from RefSeq and is a predicted model, not a curated record. The transcript is spliced from 2 exons.